RNAcentral lists this ribosomal RNA (206 nucleotides) under uncultured bacterium. RNAcentral's name for it is "partial 16S ribosomal RNA". It matches the Rfam family "Bacterial small subunit ribosomal RNA", at positions 8 to 214 of the family's 1533-position model. The record is from RNAcentral.
AGAGUUUGAUCCUGGCUCAGGAUGAACGCUAGCGGGAGGCCUAACACAUGCAAGCCGAGCGGUAGAGAUUCUUCGGAAUCUUGAGAGCGGCGCACGGGUGCGGAACACGUGUGCAACCUGCCUUUAUCUGGGGGAUAGCCUUUCGAAAGGAAGAUUAAUACCCCCAUAAUAUAUUGAUUGGCAUCAAUUAAUAUUGAAAACUCCGG